RNAcentral lists this ribosomal RNA (898 nucleotides) under uncultured bacterium. RNAcentral describes it as "bacterial SSU rRNA". It matches the Rfam family "Bacterial small subunit ribosomal RNA", at positions 8 to 916 of the family's 1533-position model. The record is from RNAcentral.
AGAGUUUGAUCAUGGCUCAGGACGAACGCUGGCGGCGUGCUUAACACAUGCAAGUCGAACGGUGAAGCUCCAGCUUGCUGGAGUGGAUCAGUGGCGAACGGGUGAGUAACACGUGAGAACCUGCCCCAAACUCUGGAAUAAGCGCUGGAAACGGCGUCUAAUACUGGAUACGAGACCAACCUGCAUGGGUAUGGUUUGGAAAGUUUUUCGGUUUGGGAUGGGCUCGCGGCCUAUCAGCUUGUUGGUGAGGUAAUGGCUCACCAAGGCGACGACGGGUAGCCGGCCUGAGAGGGCGACCGGCCACACUGGGACUGAGACACGGCCCAGACUCCUACGGGAGGCAGCAGUGGGGAAUAUUGCACAAUGGGCGAAAGCCUGAUGCAGCGACGCCGCGUGAGGGAUGACGGCCUUCGGGUUGUAAACCUCUUUCAGCAGGGAAGAAGCGAAAGUGACGGUACCUGCAGAAGAAGCACCGGCUAACUACGUGCCAGCAGCCGCGGUAAUACGUAGGGUGCGAGCGUUGUCCGGAAUUAUUGGGCGUAAAGAGCUUGUAGGCGGUUUGUCGCGUCUGCUGUGAAAAUCCGGGGCUCAACCCCGGACUUGCAGUGGGUACGGGCAGACUAGAGUGUGGUAGGGGAGACUGGAAUUCCUGGUGUAGCGGUGAAAUGCGCAGAUAUCAGGAGGAACACCGAUGGCGAAGGCAGGUCUCUGGGCCACUACUGACGCUGAGAAGCGAAAGCAUGGGGAGCGAACAGGAUUAGAUACCCUGGUAGUCCAUGCCGUAAACGUUGGGAACUAGGUGUGGGUCUCAUUCCACGAGAUCCGUGCCGCAGCUAACGCAUUAAGUUCCCCGCCUGGUGAGUACGGCCGCAAGGCUAAAACUCAAAUGAAUUGACGG